RNAcentral lists this ribosomal RNA (468 nucleotides) under uncultured bacterium. RNAcentral describes it as "partial 16S ribosomal RNA". It matches the Rfam family "Bacterial small subunit ribosomal RNA", at positions 28 to 507 of the family's 1533-position model. The record is from RNAcentral.
GACGAACGCUGGCGGCGUGCUUAAUACAUGCAAGUCGAACGGACAGGCCAUGCUCUUGUGGUGUGCUCGAGUGGCGCACGGGUGAGUAACACGUGUGUAACAUGCCCUUUGCUUUGGGAUAACUUCCGGAAACUUGGGCUCAUACCGGAUAGGAGCUCCUGCUGCAUGGUGGGGUAUGGAAAGUUUCGGCGGUUGGUGAUGGACUAGCGUCUUCUCUGCUUGCUGGUGGGGUAGUGGCAUACAAAGGCUUUGAAGGGCAGCAGGCCUGAGCGGGUGACCGGCCACAUUGGGACUGAGAUACGGCCGAGGCUCCUACGGGAGGCAGCAGUGGGGAAUAUUGCAGAAUGGGCGGAAGCCUGAUGCAGCAACGCCGCGUGCGGGAUGACGGCCUUCGGGUAGUAACCCGAUUGCGCCUGUGACGAAGCGUGAGUGACGGUAAUUGGUAAAGAAGCACCGGCUAACUACGUG